Molecule: ribosomal RNA, 232 nt
Filed under: Clostridium butyricum
Lineage: Bacteria; Bacillati; Bacillota; Clostridia; Eubacteriales; Clostridiaceae
Description: partial 16S ribosomal RNA
Rfam family: Bacterial small subunit ribosomal RNA
Source: RNAcentral
UGGGCGUAAGGGAGCGUAGGUGGAUAUUUAAGUGGGAUGUGAAAUACCCGGGCUUAACCUGGGUGCUGCAUUCCAAACUGGAUAUCUAGAGUGCAGGAGAGGAAAGGAGAAUUCCUAGUGUAGCGGUGAAAUGCGUAGAGAUUAGGAAGAAUACCAGUGGCGAAGGCGCCUUUCUGGACUGUAACUGACACUGAGGCUCGAAAGCGUGGGGAGCAAACAGGAUUAGAUACCC